Cottoperca gobio is the source of this 289-nucleotide long non-coding RNA. RefSeq lists it as uncharacterized. The transcript has 3 exons. The record is from RefSeq and is a predicted model, not a curated record. NCBI's taxonomy places the organism in Eukaryota, Metazoa, Chordata, Actinopteri, Perciformes, Bovichtidae.
AGAAGCGGAAAUGCAAGUAACGUGAUAAUGUGACGAGCAUUGUAAACAGCCGUGAAUGUUUUUGCUAGCCUGUAAAAGGAAUGCCGUUACAAGAGUCGUUUACUUGAAGCUCCAGGAUGUUGUGUGAAGUCUUGCUGUCAUCGUUAUGGUUCCUAUUUGUGAUCUUCUGGGUCGAGACAAUAAAUGUUUGGCUGUUUCUGUCUAUGUUCUACCAGGACCGGGCGUUUUACCACUGGGGAGAUGGGGUAUUUGCAGAUGAUCCUGGACGGAUGAUAUACAUGUUGAGCAG